RNAcentral lists this ribosomal RNA (2948 nucleotides) under Campylobacter jejuni. Its description in RNAcentral is "partial 23S ribosomal RNA". It matches the Rfam family "Bacterial large subunit ribosomal RNA". The record is from RNAcentral. Lineage: Bacteria; Pseudomonadati; Campylobacterota; Epsilonproteobacteria; Campylobacterales; Campylobacteraceae.
UGGGGCAACCCAAUGUAUAGAGAUAUACAUUACCUAUAUAGGAGCGAACGAGGGGAAUUGAAACAUCUUAGUACCCUCAGGAAAAGAAAUCAAUAGAGAUUGCGUCAGUAGCGGCGAGCGAAAGCGCAAGAGGGCAAACCCAGUGCUUGCACUGGGGGUUGUAGGACUGCAAUGUGCAAGAGGUAAGUUUAGCAGAACAUUCUGGAAAGUAUAACCAUAGAGGGUGAUAGUCCCGUAUGCGAAAAACAAACCUUAGCUAGCAGUAUCCUGAGUAGGGCGGGACACGAGGAAUCCUGUCUGAAUCCGGGUCGACCACGAUCCAACCCUAAAUACUAAUACCAGAUCGAUAGUGCACAAGUACCGUGAGGGAAAGGUGAAAAGAACUGAGGUGAUCAGAGUGAAAUAGAACCUGAAACCAUUUGCUUACAAUCAUUCAGAGCCCUAUGUAGCAAUACAGGGUGAUGGACUGCCUUUUGCAUAAUGAGCCUGCGAGUUGUGGUGUCUGGCAAGGUUAAGCAAACGCGAAGCCGUAGCGAAAGCGAGUCUGAAUAGGGCGCUUAGUCAGAUGCUGCAGACCCGAAACGAAGUGAUCUAUCCAUGAGCAAGUUGAAGCUAGUGUAAGAACUAGUGGAGGACUGAACCCAUAGGCGUUGAAAAGCCCCGGGAUGACUUGUGGAUAGGGGUGAAAGGCCAAUCAAACUUCGUGAUAGCUGGUUCUCUCCGAAAUAUAUUUAGGUAUAGCGUUGUGUCGUAAUAUAAGGGGGUAGAGCACUGAAUGGGCUAGGGCAUACACCAAUGUACCAAACCCUAUCAAACUCCGAAUACCUUAUAUGUAAUCACAGCAGUCAGGCGGCGAGUGAUAAAAUCCGUCGUCAAGAGGGAAACAACCCAGACUACCAGCUAAGGUCCCUAAAUCUUACUUAAGUGGAAAACGAUGUGAAGUUACUUAAACAACCAGGAGGUUGGCUUAGAAGCAGCCAUCCUUUAAAGAAAGCGUAAUAGCUCACUGGUCUAGUGAUUUUGCGCGGAAAAUAUAACGGGGCUAAAGUAAGUACCGAAGCUGUAGACUUGCACACAACUUAGAUUAUUUAAGUUUAGAAUAUGAGAAACUAAGUUAUAUGUUUAGUUAUAUUUUUACUGAUUUUUAUAGAGUAAAGAUAGAAAUAAAACUUAGUAAAAUCAGUAAAAAUAUUCUUAGACUAAAGUUAAGUAGUUUAAGUUGUGUGCAAGUGGUAGGAGAGCGUUCUAUUUGCGUCGAAGGUAUACCGGUAAGGAGUGCUGGAGCGAAUAGAAGUGAGCAUGCAGGCAUGAGUAGCGAUAAUUAAUGUGAGAAUCAUUAACGCCGUAAACCCAAGGUUUCCUACGCGAUGCUCGUCAUCGUAGGGUUAGUCGGGUCCUAAGUCGAGUCCGAAAGGGGUAGACGAUGGCAAAUUGGUUAAUAUUCCAAUACCAACAUUAGUGUGCGAUGGAAGGACGCUUAGGGCUAAGGGGGCUAGCGGAUGGAAGUGCUAGUCUAAGGUCGUAGGAGGUUAUACAGGCAAAUCCGUAUAACAAUACUCCGAGAACUGAAAGGCUUUUUGAAGUCUUCGGAUGGAUAGAAGAACCCCUGAUGCCGUCGAGCCAAGAAAAGUUUCUAAGUUUAGCUAAUGUUGCCCGUACCGUAAACCGACACAGGUGGGUGGGAUGAGUAUUCUAAGGCGCGUGGAAGAACUCUCUUUAAGGAACUCUGCAAAAUAGCACCGUAUCUUCGGUAUAAGGUGUGGUUAGCUUUGUAUUAGGAUUUACUCCGAAAGCAAGGAAACUUACAACAAAGAGUCCCUCCCGACUGUUUACCAAAAACACAGCACUCUGCUAACUCGUAAGAGGAUGUAUAGGGUGUGACGCCUGCCCGGUGCUCGAAGGUUAAUUGAUGGGGUUAGCAUUAGCGAAGCUCUUGAUCGAAGCCCGAGUAAACGGCGGCCGUAACUAUAACGGUCCUAAGGUAGCGAAAUUCCUUGUCGGUUAAAUACCGACCUGCAUGAAUGGCGUAACGAGAUGGGAGCUGUCUCAAAGAGGGAUCCAGUGAAAUUGUAGUGGAGGUGAAAAUUCCUCCUACCCGCGGCAAGACGGAAAGACCCCGUGGACCUUUACUACAGCUUGACACUGCUACUUGGAUAAGAAUGUGCAGGAUAGGUGGGAGGCUUUGAGUAUAUGACGCCAGUUGUAUAUGAGCCAUUGUUGAGAUACCACUCUUUCUUAUUUGGGUAGCUAACCAGCUUGAGUUAUCCUCAAGUGGGACAAUGUCUGGUGGGUAGUUUGACUGGGGCGGUCGCCUCCCAAAUAAUAACGGAGGCUUACAAAGGUUGGCUCAGAACGGUUGGAAAUCGUUCGUAGAGUAUAAAGGUAUAAGCCAGCUUAACUGCAAGACAUACAAGUCAAGCAGAGACGAAAGUCGGUCUUAGUGAUCCGGUGGUUCUGUGUGGAAGGGCCAUCGCUCAAAGGAUAAAAGGUACCCCGGGGAUAACAGGCUGAUCUCCCCCAAGAGCUCACAUCGACGGGGAGGUUUGGCACCUCGAUGUCGGCUCAUCGCAUCCUGGGGCUGGAGCAGGUCCCAAGGGUAUGGCUGUUCGCCAUUUAAAGCGGUACGCGAGCUGGGUUCAGAACGUCGUGAGACAGUUCGGUCCCUAUCUGCCGUGGGCGUAAGAAGAUUGAAGAGAUUUGACCCUAGUACGAGAGGACCGGGUUGAACAAACCACUGGUGUAGCUGUUGUUCUGCCAAGAGCAUCGCAGCGUAGCUAAGUUUGGAAAGGAUAAACGCUGAAAGCAUCUAAGCGUGAAGCCAACUCUAAGAUGAAUCUUCUCUAAGCUCUCUAGAAGACUACUAGUUUGAUAGGCUGGGUGUGUAAUGGAUGAAAGUCCUUUAGCUGACCAGUACUAAUAGAGCGUUUGGCUUAUCUUUAAUAAAGCAU